ACAAACGCUAUAAUCUAGUAUUAUAGAGGAAAGUCCAUGCUCACAAAAGCUGUGAUGCUUUUAGUGUUUGUGCUAGAGGAAAAAAUAACUCUAGGUAACGUAAGUUAACGGCGAUGAAAUAACCUAAGGCUUGCUAUGGUUAGAGUAAUCAUAAAGUGCUAUAGUGAUGAAGAAUCUGGAAACGGAGGAAGUGGAACAUAGUAAACCCCACAAGUGAGAAACCCAAAUUUUGGUAGGGGAGCUAAGGAGAGAGAAACGAAUCAAACCUUGGAUCAUAUGAUAGAUAAAUGUUUGUCACCAGUAAUGGUACAGAACAUGGCUUAUAA
Molecule: RNase P RNA, 326 nt
Filed under: bovine gut metagenome
Description: Bacterial RNase P class B
Rfam family: Bacterial RNase P class B
About the family: Ribonuclease P (RNase P) is a ubiquitous endoribonuclease, found in archaea, bacteria and eukarya as well as chloroplasts and mitochondria. Its best characterised activity is the generation of mature 5'-ends of tRNAs by cleaving the 5'-leader elements of precursor-tRNAs. Cellular RNase Ps are ribonucleoproteins.
Source: RNAcentral